This 960-nucleotide unclassified non-coding RNA is filed under the name Hevea brasiliensis (rubber tree). The record is from RNAcentral. Lineage: Eukaryota; Viridiplantae; Streptophyta; Magnoliopsida; Malpighiales; Euphorbiaceae.
UGUUUCAAAAAACCUAGGGGGAUAGAGAAUAGUGAUCUAGAGACAAUCAACUAGUGAUUUAAGUAACAUGCCAAAAAUAUGCUAAAAAAGUCCUCUACGAAUAAAUUAUAACAAUACAAAUAUCCUGGAACAGUACAUGACACCAGAAAAGACAUCAUAAGCUAACCAGCAAUCUCCUUCAUGUUUUUUGCUUGGCCUUCUCGAUAAGGGGCUUCAGCUGCUUCUUUUCGGCAAGAAUCUUCAGGAAGUUGAACAAAAAGGGUAUAUAAUUGUGCUUCCUCCGAAUAUUUUCCGUCCUCCACUUCUUGAACUUUUCCUCCUCCAUCAAAAUCUUCUCAGUUGCAGUCUCAAUCCCAGUAUUUACCUCAGAUAGUGAUUUGUUCAAUGCUUCAUGGUUGCUACUAUCCACUAGCCUGUCCGACUGUAAUGCACCCAGCUGCUGCAAAAUACGCUCCCUCCUCCUUUGCAGCUCCUUGAGUUCAGCAGUAUAUAUUUCUCUCCUGUUCUUAAUUAUUGCCAUGAGAUUGAAUCUUAUUUCACUUUUGGAAUACCUCUCUAUGCGUUCUUGGAUCACUGGUUGCACCAUACGCAACCAGUCCAUAUCAUUGUGCCCACCAGUGCACUGGCCAAGGCUAAUGGGACCUUCUUUCAAGCCAUCAAGCUCAUAAAGAAAUCCAUCAACAGGCAAAUAACUUAUAAAAUGGUACACAUCAUCAUCUUUUCCAGCAGCCUUCUGCUCCUCAGGAACGAAGGGCUCAGGUCUUGCAAAACUGUUAUGAGCCGCACGAAUAACUUCACUGUUGUUGAUGGCCAAACCUUUGAGUUCAGGUGGAAAAUUCCUUGUGAAUUCUUUCAACUUUGACAAUUCUGGGCCAAUAUCAAUGUCUGGACAGUUCAUUAGGAUGGAUAGAAUUGCUUGGGUUGCACAAGCAUUGUUAAUGACCUGACUGGCAAAAAAAA